RNAcentral lists this ribosomal RNA (467 nucleotides) under uncultured bacterium. Its description in RNAcentral is "partial 16S ribosomal RNA". It matches the Rfam family "Bacterial small subunit ribosomal RNA", at positions 28 to 507 of the family's 1533-position model. The record is from RNAcentral.
GAUGAACGCUGGCGGCGCGCCUAACACAUGCAAGUCGAACGAUUAAAGCACCUUCGGGUGUGUAUAAAGUGGCGAACGGCUGAGUAACACGUGGGCAACCUGCCCCUUUCAUUGGGAUAGCCACGGGAAACCGUGGAUAAUACCGAAUACUUCGAGACUUCCGCAUGGAAGACUCGAGAAAGCUCCGGCGGAGAGGGAUGGGCCCGCGGCCUGUUAGCUUGUUGGUGGGGUAACGGCCUACCAAGGCAAUGAUGGGUAGCUGGGUUGAGAGACCGACCAGCCAGAUUGGGACUGAGACACGGCCCAGACUCCUACGGGAGGCAGCAGUGGGGAGUCUUGCACAAUGGGCGAAAGCCUGAUGCAGCGACGCCGCGUGCGGGAUGAAGGCCUUCGGGUUGUAAACCGCUUUCAGCAGGGACGAGGCGAAAGUGACGGUACCUGCAGAAGAAGCCCCGGCUAACUACGUG